GAUGAACGCUGGCGGCGUGCCUAAUACAUGCAAGUAGAACGCUGAAGGAAGGAGCUUGCUCUUUCCGGAUGAGUUGCGAACGGGUGAGUAACGCGUAGGUAACCUGCCUGGUAGCGGGGGAUAACUAUUGGAAACGAUAGCUAAUACCGCAUAACAGUAGAUGUUGCAUGAUAUCUACUUAAAAGGUGCAAUUGCACCACUACCAGAUGGACCUGCGUUGUAUUAGCUAGUUGGUGAGGUAACGGCUCACCAAGGCGACGAUACAUAGCCGACCUGAGAGGGUGGUCGGCCACCCUGGGACUGAGACCCGGCCCAGACUCCUACGGGAGGCAGCCGUAGGGAACCUUCGGCAAUGGGCGGAAGUCUGACCGAGCAACGCCGCGUGAGUGAAGAAGGUUUUCGGAUCGUAAAGCUCUGUUGUAAGGGAAGAACGAGUGUGGGAGUGGAAAGUUCACACUGUGACGGUAUCUUACCAGAAAGGGACGGCUAACUACGUG
Molecule: ribosomal RNA, 497 nt
Filed under: uncultured bacterium
Lineage: Bacteria
Description: partial 16S ribosomal RNA
Rfam family: Bacterial small subunit ribosomal RNA
Source: RNAcentral